Molecule: long non-coding RNA, 320 nt
Filed under: Coturnix japonica (Japanese quail)
Lineage: Eukaryota; Metazoa; Chordata; Aves; Galliformes; Phasianidae
Description: lncRNA (ENSCJPG00005002593.1)
Source: RNAcentral
GGCAGGAUGCCCCACUAUAUGGGGCCCAAUGGGGUCAGAUAGGUGGGGGGCUAUAGGAAUCUAUGGGGCUCUAUGGGGUCAAUGGGGGCUAUGGGCGUAGGCGCCUUUACGCAGCAGGUCCUCGAUCUCCUUCUUGGAGAACUGAUGGAUCUAUGGGGCAAUAUGUGGGGCAGGAUGACCCUAUAGGGCCCUAUGGGGUCAAUAUGGGGGCUAUAGGACUCUAUGGGGCUCUAUGGGGUCAAUGGGGGCUAUGGGCGUAGGCGCCUUUAACGCAUAGGGUCCUCGAUCUCCCUUCUUGGAAACUGAAUGGAUCUAUGGGG